GGAUGUGAGGGUGAGCUUGCUGUGACAACUGUCACCCCAUUGAUCACUAUGUCUGAUUCAGCUGAUCUGGCGGGCUAGGCUGGUGUCCCCUUGCUCCCUCACUGCUCCAUGGGUGUCCUUCCUGACACUACAUAUUGAAGAAGAUGGCUCUCCCCUCUUAAGGAGGACCAAUCUUUGGUCAAGGGGUAUACAAGUAGCAGCACUCCACUGUAGAACCUCCAAACAAGCUCUCAAGUCUUGAUUGUUCCAGUUCUGAACCAGCUCCCUGCCAAUGUGCCUGGGGAGGCAACUGAAGAAGGUCCAAGUACUUGAGUUCCAACCACCCAUGUGGUAGAU
RNAcentral lists this small nuclear RNA (336 nucleotides) under Oryctolagus cuniculus (rabbit). RNAcentral describes it as "7SK RNA". The stretch from base 1 to 281 matches the Rfam family "7SK RNA". From Rfam's summary of the family: 7SK was discovered as an abundant small nuclear RNA in the mid-70s but a possible function has only recently been suggested. Two independent studies have found that 7SK RNA binds the CDK9/cyclin T complex (known as elongation factor P-TEFb). P-TEFb activates transcription by phosphorylating the C-terminal domain of RNA polymerase II. The record is from Rfam by way of RNAcentral. Lineage: Eukaryota; Metazoa; Chordata; Mammalia; Lagomorpha; Leporidae.